UACAGAGGUCUCAAGCGUUGUUCGGAUUCAUUGGGCGUAAAGGGUGCGUAGGCGGCGCGGUGAGUCGGGUGUGAAAUCUUGGAGCUUAACUCCGAAACUGCAUUCGAUACUGCCGUGCUUGAGGACUGGAGAGGAGACUGGAAUUUACGGUGUAGCGGUGAAAUGCGUAGAUAUCGUAAGGAAGACCAGUGGCGAAGGCGGGUCUCUGGACAGUUCCUGACGCUGAGGCACGAAGGCCAGGGGAGCAAACGGG
Molecule: ribosomal RNA, 253 nt
Filed under: uncultured bacterium
Lineage: Bacteria
Description: partial 16S ribosomal RNA
Rfam family: Bacterial small subunit ribosomal RNA
Source: RNAcentral